GGGGACCUUCGGGGCCCUAUAACCACAGGCGGGGCAACAUCCCUGCCGCACAGCUAAACGGAAGACAGACA
Sulfitobacter geojensis is the source of this 71-nucleotide non-coding RNA. NCBI's taxonomy places the organism in Bacteria, Pseudomonadati, Pseudomonadota, Alphaproteobacteria, Rhodobacterales, Roseobacteraceae. The record is from Rfam.